RNAcentral lists this non-coding RNA (55 nucleotides) under Trypanosoma brucei brucei. Lineage: Eukaryota; Euglenozoa; Kinetoplastea; Trypanosomatida; Trypanosomatidae. The record is from RNAcentral.
ACAUAUCACUCACUACAUAUAAGCCGUAGAUAUAGAUUAAUUAAGUGAGAUAUGU